CUGGCCGAGCGCGUACUGCUCUCGGGUUAGCUUCCUGUACCGGUACGCGAUCCCGUGUACCGGUACGCCAGGGUAGGUGAGGGGCUUUUUAGUAAUAUCACCUUGCCUUGUUUGUAUCACCAUUCCAUCCCUUACUUUAUACGUGUAGGAGCAGAGAGAGAGAGAGCUAUUUGCUGCCCAUUUCCUUCUCUCUCUCCCUAGCAUUGAUCGAAUAGGUGGAGUUCGGUUGGAGCUCGGAUUCGACACCGACGUUGCGCCGCGAAGCCGUUCGGGGAUACGGUUGGGAUCGUAGCGCUGCGAGGAAGCUAGGCGAGGGUGCGUUGUUGCCGUUCUCGACGCCGUGUCGCUGAUCGAUUAGCCGUUGAGAAUUUCACCGUCGACUGUUGGUAUUUUGGCUCGUUCUCGACGUAGGAGCAUCGGAUUGUGACGAGACUUGGCUCGUUGGAUUCGGGACUUCGAGAGGAAUCCACAGAGCCCUCACUUGCAAUUUUUGGUCAAGCUUGGCGUUGGCUUGGCGACCGGACUUGGAGAUCCCCGAUUGAUCCAGCGGAGUUCCUUUUAGGCCGAGGCUUCGUUUGCUGCCAGGAGAUAGCACUUUAGAGCCACAGGUUCCGGCUGCUGCACCGUCUGCGGACCAGGAUCGAGGCAAGGGCGUCGCG
Ananas comosus (pineapple) is the source of this 659-nucleotide long non-coding RNA. RefSeq lists it as uncharacterized. The transcript has 4 exons. NCBI's taxonomy places the organism in Eukaryota, Viridiplantae, Streptophyta, Magnoliopsida, Poales, Bromeliaceae. The record is from RefSeq and is a predicted model, not a curated record.